Molecule: ribosomal RNA, 632 nt
Filed under: Lactobacillus sp. JCM 9721
Lineage: Bacteria; Bacillati; Bacillota; Bacilli; Lactobacillales; Lactobacillaceae
Description: bacterial SSU rRNA
Rfam family: Bacterial small subunit ribosomal RNA
Source: RNAcentral
GCAGUCGAACGAGUUCUCGUUGAUGAUCGGUGCUUGCACCGAGAUUCAACAUGGAACGAGUGGCGGACGGGUGAGUAACACGUGGGUAACCUGCCCUUAAGUGGGGGAUAACAUUUGGAAACAGAUGCUAAUACCGCAUAGAUCCAAGAACCGCAUGGUUCUUGGCUGAAAGAUGGCGUAAGCUAUCGCUUUUGGAUGGACCCGCGGCGUAUUAGCUAGUUGGUGAGGUAAUGGCUCACCAAGGCGAUGAUACGUAGCCGAACUGAGAGGUUGAUCGGCCACAUUGGGACUGAGACACGGCCCAAACUCCUACGGGAGGCAGCAGUAGGGAAUCUUCCACAAUGGACGCAAGUCUGAUGGAGCAACGCCGCGUGAGUGAAGAAGGCUUUCGGGUCGUAAAACUCUGUUGUUGGAGAAGAAUGGUCGGCAGAGUAACUGUUGUCGGCGUGACGGUAUCCAACCAGAAAGCCACGGCUAACUACGUGCCAGCAGCCGCGGUAAUACGUAGGUGGCAAGCGUUAUCCGGAUUUAUUGGGCGUAAAGCGAGCGCAGGCGGUUUUUUAAGUCUGAUGUGAAAGCCCUCGGCUUAACCGAGGAAGCGCAUCGGAAACUGGGAAACUUGAGUGCAGAAA